Molecule: small RNA, 207 nt
Filed under: Arabidopsis thaliana (thale cress)
Lineage: Eukaryota; Viridiplantae; Streptophyta; Magnoliopsida; Brassicales; Brassicaceae
Description: ATSL157070
Source: RNAcentral
ACCGGCGGUCGAGCAACAAAUGGAGGUAAACCAAUGGUAGUAGACCUCCAUAAUCUUUGGUAACACUACAAGAAAACAGGUAAACGACGACUACAAUCAGCGACAGUAAACGUAGUCGUAAAGUUAAACGACGUUUUGGCGAUGGAUUUACGACUAGCGUGCUACAACUCGAAAAAUUGUAGUUACAUAGUCGUUGUUUUACGACUA